UUCGCCUUCUCCUCACCUGGGCUAUCUCUGGGCGGCCGCCGCCUCCCCUCGCCCCCGGGGCGAGCAGGCCUUCCCCACCAUCCCUGCCCGCCGCCGGGGCGCUCCCGCCGCGCUGCCCUCCCCGGUUACCUGGGGUAUCCCGCCCCCGCCCAUGAGGCGCAGCCGCCGCUGCCCUCCCGCCAUCAGAGGAGCGCCAUGGCCGCAGCGCUGCCCGCGCCUCGCCGGCCUCGCCUCUAAUCCCAUUAGCGCCUAGAGGAGACCCAUGUUAUUUUAAUCGCCCUCCCGGCUAACGGUGUCGGUUGUGGGGCCGCAGUAACCGAGCUCCGGGGCAAACGCCUCAGCGCCUGCCGGGGCGGCCCCGUGAGGGGGAAGAUGAACAGGCUAUUUUUAACAGGAGUCAAUCAGCAACUUCCAGAUUGGGGGAAGUAUCUGGACAUCCCACUGUUAUCUCUGAGGCCUGCAUGGACCUGUUUGCUGAGCUAAAACCAAAAUUUCCAAGAAAGAAAAAGAGAGGAGUCAUAUCUGUCAAAGACAAAACAAUUCCUUGGAAUGUACAAGUUUGUCAGAUGCAAUGACAAUGGGGGUUAUUUUCUCCCUCCUCUGAAGUGAACUACAUGAAGAAUAUAAAACCCUUUUUAGUUUCUUUCAAGACUACCUAAUGUGAUAGAACAGAUCUGUUAAUUCUAGAUACAGAUAAUUUUGAAUAUCAGGCAAGUAUUUUUUUUACUACAUUAAAUACAUAAGGGAUUUACAUUCAUCUUUGUUUUACUAACUAAUGUCAAGACUUUUCUAGAUUCUAGUCAGUUAUUUAUAAGCAAUAAAACUUCACAUGCAGAUCAACGAUUGCUUCAAAUCAGAUUUUUAUAUCAAAUAAGCAAGUUUCUGUCCUCUGCUUCAGAGAAGACACAAUCAAUUCUAGCUUCCUUUAUACACUGCAGUUAUUGCUACUUUUGGCAUAGAUGAUCUGGCUCCAAAUUUGCUGUGAGUAGACCAAAUUUUUUUUUUUUUUAAUUGCCCCAGUAUAAAAAUAAAACUGCCUUUAUGAUAUUCCUGAUGUUGCACUAUCAAAUUGCAUAAGGCCUUCCAUCCUGUGGAAAACAUGAAGAGCAAAAGAAAAAGUGGGGGUAAUUAAGCAAUUUGCCAUUCACCCCUUAGCAGAGACCACAAAGUUUUGGAUUUAACUUGUGAGGUGUGGUGUGAGUCAGUCACUUGGUUUUAAGCAAAAGAAUAACACAAAUAAUGUACUAGUAAGGUUUUGUCUGGUAACGUAAAUAGACUUAGCUUCUGCUGUUAUGGCAGUUUAUGUAACAUUUUUCUGCUUUAUAUAAUAUUUCUCUUGCUUGUUCUUAGACAUUAAAAAAACAGAAGUCUGUACAAAACUGUUGGACAAGACUUUAUUUGUCCAAUUUAAAAUUGGUCACUGCAUUAGUAUUCUCUGAUACUGCAGUAUCUCUACUUCCUAUCAUGUUUUAAAAACAAAGUAGCAAAAGACAUGAAAUGAAGUUAUAUUUCAAUAUACUGUCUGUUCUUUCCCUUUGUUUGCCUCUAAUUAUUUAACAUCUUUUCUUGGAGCUUUGAAAGAAGAAGAGCGACCAUGUUGGGGUCAGGUGUACUCAGCUGGCAUAAAACACGGCCACAUGGAAGUGAUCAUUUUAUACCAUGUGAGGGUCUGGUAGCAUGGGUAAUCCUUGGAUUUUGGUGAGUGUUGAGAACAGUAUUUCUAACAAGGGAUUCCUGAAGUUGACCUGGAUCAUGUCUGUCCUGAGAUGGGUCAUGCUGUGAUCUGCACUGCUGCAAUGGCAGCAUGCACCAUGUUAACAGCUACAGGGUAAUUACUCUUCUCAUUAUAACCUACUAGUUUUGGGGUUUUUUCUUGUUAUAUGCUGGCAGAUUUGGAAGCUCUUUUGCCAGCUAAUCAAUUUGCCCACCAUCUGCAGGUAAAGAGCACCCAAGCAGUUAGGAAACUGACUGGUUCUUACUCAGCCCUGUGGUCUCCUGGGAGCUGCUCAUUGGCUCUCCAGACUUUGGAGCAGCAAGAGAGCAACAAAAAUGAAAAUAAACCUCUGGUGGUGUUUUGGGUUUUUUUCUUAAGUCCUAGUUUGGUUGGUUUGUUUUUGGGUUUUUUUUUAGUUAAUGAACCCCAGGGGUUUUUUUUCUGUGAAAUUUUUUAAAUAAUACACAAAGGAUAAAUUUUGAAGAUUAACUAUAAGGUCCAUAAAUAAAGAUCUCUCCUGGCACCCUGAACAUCUCAGCAAAUCUGUUCAUUUUAUUGCAGUAUUGCAAACUCUUCCUCAGAACCAUCUGCAACACUACUGAGAUUUAAAAACCAGAACACAGAAAAAAGACCAUUGCUUAAUGGAUAAUGAUCAAGGACAUUCUCAAACUCACUGCACUUAUCUUCCAGACAACUGCUCAAGCAGCUAAAGAACCUCUUCAUUGGUCUCACUCCCAAGUGAAAGAUAUAAACACUAAAGGAGCCAGAAAACUUCUCUAAAGAAAAUCAGCUGAUUUCUCACACAAAUCUAGUGUGAUAUUACUCCUCCAAAUCUUUGCUGGACCUUAGUGAUGAACAAAUAGAAUUAAUUAAGCAGUGACCACACAACAGAACAAAUAAACAAAAAUGAAUAUUCAAAUGGAGUUAACAAAAUCAAGUUUCUUAUCUGCUCAUGUAGACAAAAGCAAUGAUGUUCCACUUAUUGUGAGUGACCUCGCUGUGGUGGAGAUAGUGUUUUGCAGUGCUGCCAGUUUGAAUGUGUACCAGAGUACACUGACACUAAAAGAAAACACAGAUCUCUCUAGAAGACAGAAGACAUAGUGUUUGUAGGAACAAAGCAAAAAUACCAACACUUGCAAGUAGUCACUGCAAAACACAUUCAGUCUGGUGAUCUGUGCACAUCACUGUGACAGCAGCAAUAAAUCACAAGCUCUGCAACUGUUCAGAGGGAAGGUUUCCUGUGAACCUGAAGCCAAAGAUUAAGGUGGAUCACAUGAUAUUGGAUUCACUCCAUUCAAUAGAUAAGUUUCUGGUUAUCUAAUGCAAAAAAAACCCAUACAUACCAUCUGUCUUGAACAUUUAUGAAAUGUUACUACUGUGAUAUCUACACUGUGAACAAAACAGAAAUAGGCUGCUCUUGCCUUCCUUUAUUUUCAUACAAUCACAUCUCUCAGUAAGAUGCAUUAUUUUUAAAUGAUCUCUUCUACUGGCAACUUCUGAAAGUAUAGCUGUCAACAUUGUAUUGCACUUUUUACUUGGUCAUCUGAUCAAAGGUAUUUAUCUACAUAAUUCCUACUGACUUCUGUAAAUGUUGACAAAAUAAUGCUAUUCCACCAGAAUAAAACAUUAAACUCUCUUAUACAACUCAAAUCUGAAAAAUUUCUAAUGGCUGGAAAACACACUAAAAAAAAUCGUUAGCAAAGCAGUGGAAUAGAGUUGUCCAGUAGCAAAGAAAAAAAAGUUCUACAUAAGUAUCCUGAUGCUGUUCUGGUUGCAAGGAAUUUUAUUCUUUUGAUGGAUUUAAGAUUAGGGUAGCACCAAUGUCAUUUCUCAGCUACUUGUCAUCCUACUUGAUGCAGACAUCUGACAUCUCAUGACAAAUCUGAUGCUGUUGAAGCUCAGCAUCUUUGAUGAACUGUAUUACAAAUACAACCAAAUUCAAGGUCAUAGCUAGGAUUCUAAAUGAAUAUGAUAAGAUAAAAUUAAAUAUAAUGCACAGAAUCUCAUUUGCAUUUCUAUCAUCUCCUAUAUGAGCAUCUCUGAAGGAGUAUAAUGGUGAAUAGCUUCAGCCUUAAGAGUGAUGAAUUUAUGGGGGAGUUGGCUACAAAUGUUCUCUGAAUCUUCUUAUAAUCUUCAGAUUGAAGUUGCAUUUUCCAUUUUCUUUGUCAUAGGUCUUUUACAGUGCAAAGAACACCAAAAUAAUUGUCACCUUUUUUUCCCUUACAAAGGCAUUGUCAAACUACUGUACAAAUAAUGUUUAUCUGUUCACACACCUAACACGCACCAGUGACAAACAUUCCUGCUCUGGUAUAUAGCAUUAUUUUAAAAUGACUCCACAUCCUCUCCUAACCUACUGUACAUAAUCUUAUCACCUCCUGUCUCAGUUUGUGUUUCUCCAUAUGUCAUUAGCAUGCUUUAGUCUAGCAAACAGCUACUUGCCCUUUGAAUUCAAUUGGCCUUCACUAGAUGGUGCAAGAGAAGACUAUUUUCUGCUAUUUUCAGUCAAAAGACCUUGAAGAGACAUUCUGGUUCUUCACAUGGUUUUCUGGCUAGCAUUGAAUAGAAAGAGACUAGUAAGGAAACAGCCAUAGAAAAGCACUAUAGAUUUCAUCUUAACUUCUUCAGCUGGCCCAGUAUUGAGACAGCUUGAGACAUUUUCACGGAGUUUGUUGCUAGCUUGUGAUAUGCUUUCUUUUUUGAUGUUUCCCUCUCCAAUAUCAUAAGCUAAUUUUUUCUUUGCAGUCUGUUGCAAGUGUUUUACAAAGAACAAAUUCAUCUUGUAUCACCUACACAAAGUGACAAUGCUGUCUUCCAUUUUUUGCAGCAGCAGCAGUGCUGAAGUUACUCAUAAAUUGUGCUGUGCAUUUGACAUACAGCCAACAACUGGAAGAAGCAAAUUCACCCCUCCCCAGAAUUGAGAAAGUAGCCUUGAGAAGAAAAGAAGAGAUAAAACCCAGUGCGCAUAAAGGACCAAAUGGCUCCUGGAACAGCUGAUUGAUUGCGUCUUACUAAAGCUAUGGGAGUAGUUGGCACAGUGGAACAUAAAUCUUGAUAGAAGGCAGAACCAGUGGACAAGGAUUCACUGUAUUCUGAAAUUCUUCAAUAUAAAGAACAGUGAACAGCAUCAGAGAGGAGUUUUUCCAAUAGAUAUUUUCUGCAUCAUAAUACUUGGGCUGCUCUAGAUCACCAACCACCAGUUCCAGCUAAACUUUCUGUAUUACU
Parus major (Great Tit) is the source of this 4936-nucleotide long non-coding RNA. RefSeq lists it as uncharacterized. The record is from RefSeq and is a predicted model, not a curated record. NCBI's taxonomy places the organism in Eukaryota, Metazoa, Chordata, Aves, Passeriformes, Paridae. The transcript has 6 exons.